GAGGAGAAGAACAGAGAGGGCGACGCGAGAGAGAAGAAGAACAGAGAAAUGGCGACUGUACGCUUCGGUUCGUGCUUUUCAUCGCCCGAAACGACGCGGGAUGCAAACCGUUUGGGCCUUUAGUCCCGGGUUGAGCCACCAACCGGGACUAAAGAGGUAUACCAAACGGUUGCCACCACUACGGCAGACCACGUGUUAGGCCUUUAGUCCCGGGUUGAACCACCAACUGGGACUAAAGAGGUAUACCAACGGUGGCCACCACUACGGCAGGCCACGUGUUAGUCCUUUAGUCCCGGGUUGAGCCACCAACCGGGACUAAAGGGGGAUACGAACGGUUGCCACCACCACUGCCCGUCGUGUAGCCCUU
RNAcentral lists this long non-coding RNA (367 nucleotides) under Hordeum vulgare. Its description in RNAcentral is "long non-coding RNA (HVUL_LNC017423)". The record is from RNAcentral. Lineage: Eukaryota; Viridiplantae; Streptophyta; Magnoliopsida; Poales; Poaceae.